This 466-nucleotide ribosomal RNA is filed under the name uncultured bacterium. RNAcentral describes it as "partial 16S ribosomal RNA". It matches the Rfam family "Bacterial small subunit ribosomal RNA", at positions 28 to 507 of the family's 1533-position model. The record is from RNAcentral.
GAUGAACGCUGGCGGCGUGCUUAACACAUGCAAGUCGAACGAUGAAGCCCAGCUUGCUGGGUGGAUUAGUGGCGAACGGGUGAGUAACACGUGAAUAACCUGCCCUUAACUCUGGGAUAAGCCUGGGAAACUGGGUCUAAUACCGGAUAGGAGCGUCCACCGCAUGGUGGGUGUUGGAAAGAUUUAUCGGUUUUGGAUGGACUCGCGGCCUAUCAGCUUGUUGGUGAGGUAAUGGCUCACCAAGGCGACGACGGGUAGCCGGCCUGAGAGGGUGACCGGCCACACUGGGACUGAGACACGGCCCAGACUCCUACGGGAGGCAGCAGUGGGGAAUAUUGCACAAUGGGCGCAAGCCUGAUGCAGCGACGCCGCGUGAGGGAUGACGGCCUUCGGGUUGUAAACCUCUUUCAGUAGGGAAGAAGCGAAAGUGACGGUACCUGCAGAAGAAGCGCCGGCUAACUACGUG